GGGAUAACUCCGGGAAACCGGGGCUAAUACCGGAUGGUUGUUUGAACCGCAUGGUUCAAACAUAAAAGGUGGCUUCGGCUACCACUUACAGAUGGACCCGCGGCGCAUUAGCUAGUUGGUGAGGUAACGGCUCACCAAGGCAACGAUGCGUAGCCGACCUGAGAGGGUGAUCGGCCACACUGGGACUGAGACACGGCCCAGACUCCUACGGGAGGCAGCAGUAGGGAAUCUUCCGCAAUGGACGAAAGUCUGACGGAGCAACGCCGCGUGAGUGAUGAAGGUUUUCGGAUCGUAAAGCUCUGUUGUUAGGGAAGAACAAGUACCGUUCGAAUAGGGCGGUACCUUGACGGUACCUAACCAGAAAGCCACGGCUAACUACGUGCCAGCAGCCGCGGUAAUACGUAGGUGGCAAGCGUUGUCCGGAAUUAUUGGGCGUAAAGGGCUCGCAGGCGGUUUCUUAAGUCUGAUGUGAAAGCCCCCGGCUCAACCGGGGAGGGUCAUUGGAAACUGGGGAACUUGAGUGCAGAAGAGGAGAGUGGAAUUCCACGUGUAGCGGUGAAAUGCGUAGAGAUGUGGAGGAACACCAGUGGCGAAGGCGACUCUCUGGUCUGUAACUGACGCUGAGGAGCGAAAGCGUGGGGAGCGAACAGGAUUAGAUACCCCUGGUAGUCCACGCCGUAAACGAUGAGUGCUAAGUGUUA
This 701-nucleotide ribosomal RNA is filed under the name Bacillus tequilensis. Its description in RNAcentral is "bacterial SSU rRNA". It matches the Rfam family "Bacterial small subunit ribosomal RNA", at positions 140 to 825 of the family's 1533-position model. The record is from RNAcentral. Lineage: Bacteria; Bacillati; Bacillota; Bacilli; Caryophanales; Bacillaceae.